UGUGAUCCAAUUUUAUUGGCUACCUUGAUUAUGCAAGUGUUAACUGUGUGUUUUGAUUGCUUGCAAAUUUAUUGGGCAUCAAGGUGGAGAUUUGUUGGGUUUUUGAUACCCAAUAAAUCCCGGGCUAUGAUGUUAACGUGGGUUAAUAUUAUUUCAUAGGCAUAGGCCGAUGAAUGAAAUAAGUCCAACAACCAAGUCCAUGAGCUACACCCG
This 213-nucleotide long non-coding RNA is filed under the name Olea europaea (common olive). RNAcentral's name for it is "long non-coding RNA (OEUR_LNC006160)". Lineage: Eukaryota; Viridiplantae; Streptophyta; Magnoliopsida; Lamiales; Oleaceae. The record is from RNAcentral.